This is a long non-coding RNA of Meriones unguiculatus (Mongolian gerbil), 4580 nucleotides long. RefSeq lists it as uncharacterized. The record is from RefSeq and is a predicted model, not a curated record. NCBI's taxonomy places the organism in Eukaryota, Metazoa, Chordata, Mammalia, Rodentia, Muridae. The transcript has 4 exons.
GCGGGCAUCCACCACCACGCCUGGUUUUACGUCGUGCUGGGGUGGAACCCAGGGCUUGGUGCAUUCUGUUUGUUAGUUCAGCGACAUCUCCAACCCCGUCCUUACAUGCAGUAGAGGGACAGAGCUCACUGCUGGCCAGCCUGCUGAGGCUAUCUGGAUUCAGUUGCCAGAAGUUACUUUGACUCUUUCAACCCUGAGAUGGAUUCCAGAUCUGCAGAAGCAAUAAGUACUGGUUUGGUUGGUUUGAUGCACAAAGGAUCCUGGACUCAGGAGGCAGAGGCAGAAGGAUCUCUGUGAGUCUGAAGCCAUCGUGAUCUCUAGGACAGACAUUUGCAUCUUGAAGAGGCUGGAGUCAUCAGUCCCAAGGCCACUGUGUACUUGGUCUGUAGCAUACUGGAGAUAUCCUGUGAUCCCUUUGUGCAACUGAUGAGCUUCCUGCUGACUUCAUCCCAUUUUAUGAUAGCUUUACGUCUAUCCCAUCCUCCCCUGUAAACUGUAAAUAAGACGUCGUACUUCUUAUAAACUUGAUCAGCACAAGCUGUCAGCCUAGGCAAGACCUUCUAAUUCCAACUUUCAUAUCUUUUUAUUUUCUCAUCUCUGGUCCUCUCCCUCAGGACCCCGGCACUGAAAGAAUGGCCUGCUGGCCCAGGUCACAUGGCAGAAACAUAUUCAGCUACAACAAGUUUCACAACACAUUGUUCGGUCUCAUUAUCAAGCGUGGCAUUCUAGUUUCAGUUCUACACAGCUUAUUUCCUGAUAGUUUCCUUUCACAACCUACAGUGGAAAAAAUAAUCAGUCUCUUCAGUUUGAAGAGGGCUGGGGCAAGCUCAUAAUAUCUAAGUGGAAAAGGGAACAAGGACUUAAUGUACCUGAGUUUUCGAGGAACCUUGAAAAUAAUGCUAGUGUUAUUGAGGAUGGAUUAGGCUUAAGGAAUUAGGAUUGAUUUACUUGCACAUACGUAUAUGUUACCAGAGCUAGAAUCCCGUCACACUAGGCAAGUGUAUGCCACUGAACUAUGUUGUAUAGUUUUGAGACAGAGGCUUGGAUAACUAGCCUCAAACUUGGUGUUCUCCUAUCUUAGCCUCCCAAGUGCUAUGAUUACAGGAGUGCACCACCCGUCUUGGGCUGGGUUGAUUUUUUUUUUAAAGUUUUAUUGCAUUUAUUGUAUUUGCAUGCUUGCAUGUGCAUGAGUGCCAUGAUAUGCAAAUGGGAGUCAGAGGGCAAUCCGUGGGAACUGGUUCUCUCUUUCCACCAUGUGGGUUCUGUGAGUUGAACUCAGGUCAUCCAGUUUAGAGGCAAGUGCCUUAGCUGGUGGAACCAUCUUGCUGCCUCAAAUUUGUUUGUUGUUUGUUUGCUUGUUUUUUGGUUUGGGGUUUGGUUUCUGUUUGUUUUUUUUUCUUUUUUCUUUUCUUUUUUUCUUUCUUUUCUUCUUUUUCUUUUUUCUUUUGAAGCAGGAUCUCAUGCAUCCCAGGCUGGCCUUGAACUCUCCUGCUUCCACUUCUAUGAUGUUGGAACUACAGGUAUGUGCCAGCAUACCCUGUUAACAUGGUGCUGUGUAUAAAACCCAGGAUCCUGUCCAUGCUAGGCAAGCACUAUACCGACCGAGACAGCCCCCAGUCCCCAGGUUGAUUUUUUUUUUUCAGUGUUAAGAGCUGAGUGAAAUCAGAGUAGUAUUCCUGCCUUCCCUUAUUCAGUAUCCCCAAAUGUCUCAUGCCCACGACUUAUACUCUUUAAAGUAGAACUGAUUUGUUUUCCCUCAUCCCGUUUUUGUGUGUCUGUCCAGCAGACACCCCCGCUAUAUGGCAGAGGCAGGUAAGUAAAAUGAAGAUGCUUUCAAAGGAGAGUCAGCCCAGAGGGGGCACGAGCAAGCCAUGGCGCUGUGCAUGGCAUAGGAGCACAAGGUUGUCAGUAAAGCUGGCCUAUGGCCGGGUGGCUUGGAUAUGAUUGGAGUAGCUCUCAAGGAUGCCCAGGUCAGAAUAUCAUCACCGUGUGAAACAUUGAGGGGGAAACUGAGUCUCCUUGUGGUGAGCUUCUGGGAAGCAAUUAGGGUUGGGUGGGGUCAUCAGGAGAGGCAUUUGUGCCUGGAUAGUGACGGCUCUGUAAGGAGAGGCUACACACACAGCACACACUCCUUAUUUCUUGCCAUGGGCUAUCCCAUGUCAGUAUCAAUGGCAUUUUGAGAUGCAGCUCUUAGACUUGGACUCAGAACCACGUGCCAAAACAAUUGUGUUUUUAUAGCUACUCUGACAAGCUGGGGAGGCAGCUCAGUAGGGUGAGCGCUUGUCUUAUGAGCAUGAGGCCCUAAGGCUGAUCCUCAGAACCCACAUUGAAAAAAAAAAGGUGUGCUGGUGUGUUGGAAGAAGAGGCCAAGAUGGGCAAAUCCCUGGGGCUGGGUGUCCAGCCAGCCUAACUUACUUGGUAAGCUCCAGGCCAGAGAGACCCUAGCUCAAAAAACCCACAGGCUUCAGGUGUGGGGGCUCACAUAUUUAGUCCUGGCUCUUGGGAGAUAGAGUCAGAUGAAUUCAAGGCCAGCCUGGUCUGAAUAGUGAGUACCAGGCUGGCCAGGGAUACACAGUGAGACCCUGUCUCCAAAACAAAACCAAAACAACACGCACAAACCCAAACAAAACAAGACAAUAAAAUAAAAAAUGUAUUGUAGCCGAGGAAUGACAUUCAAAAAUGUCCUCUGAGUGCCACAGGCACCUACACAAAAUUUGUGAGAUUGCACACACACACACACUUUCUCUCUCUCUCUUACACACACGAACACACUCACUAACUCACACAUCUGUAUUGUUACAGGAGGGCAAACCAGAUUGAUUUGAAUAAAUAAUAAAUAAAAUGAAGACAUUUUCUUGAGACCGUUUCAUUCCCAUGAAUCAGAGAUCUGCCCCCUUGAUUAUAGUUUGUGCUUCGGGAAGCCUCCAUCUCAGAGCCCAGCUUCUGUGAGCAAAGCUCCAGGUCUGCAGAAAGCUUGUCAACAAGACUGCAGGAUGAGCCACAUUUUAAGUCUGCCUUGGCCAGCAGGCCUGAGAGCACCUGGGUUCUGAAGGACUUGGAUCCAGAAAACAGGAGCCAGUUGGUACCAGGGGAAAUGUUUCCAGGAUGAAAGAAGAGUGACAGCCAGCCUUGGAACCUCCAUUGACCUAAACAGUUUGUGUAGCCAGAAGUUGGACACUGUGAAGUUCCCUUAAGAUACCUGCUGGCUGACUCAGGCAUUCAGCAGAGAGACUGGCAUUUCUAGCCAGUGGCCCACAGUGGGCAGGAAGGGAGGCAGCUGCGCCCACUUGUGCUGGGAUCUGCCCUGGAGAACCUCAGCCACAGAGCUCAAGAUGGAGUAGGCUCUGCAAGUGAACCAGCUGAUCUGCUGUGGUAAAGGGGUACAUAUGGGGCUCUGAGGCAUGGAGACAGAGCUUUGCGACCUGCUUUUUGGAUAACUUUGCAAACUGAGAAAAUUAACCUUGCCUUGGACUAUAAUUUUCCGAUCGUCAAAGGGAGAAAAUGGCGCCUGUGUGAAUCAGCCAGGGCACUUAAAAUGUACUGUAAGACUUGGAAAUGCCAUCUGACAUUCUCCCUUCAGCAAGUGAGAGGCGUUAAAUGGCCUGCCCAAAUUCAACCCAUGGCAGAGUCAGGCGUCUGGCUACGAGUGCUUCCUUUGGCUCUCGGCAAGCAGACAGGGUUUCUCUGUGUCGUCCCAGCUGUCCUGGAACUUGCUCUGUAGACCAGGCCGGCUUCAAACUCAGAGAUUCACCUGCUUUUACCUCUGGAGUGUUGGGACUAAAGGCAUGUACCACCACCUCCAGGCUUAUUUUUCUGCUCUUGACUGACAAUGAUGUGACUAGCUAUUAUAAACUGGAAUUGUGAGCUGAAAUAAACCCCCUUAUCCUCUAAGUUGCUUUUGUCAAGCAAUUUAAUGAGAACUACAGACAUGAAACUAGGCCAGAACCUGACUCACUCUUCCCUCAUCUCUGCCUGUGCAGCUUUCCAUGGUGGGCUGAGGAGAAGGCUGAGGGUCCUGCAAGUCAGAGGAGGAUACGGUGCUUGGAGUGGGGUGGGGGCUAGUGGUUUUCAGAUGGCCAAGAUGAUCCUGGAGAUGAAGCCUCAGUGGUGGGAGGAGCAGCCGGGGAUGACAAGAUGGAGGGACACCCCAGGACAUUAGACAAAGACUGUGCAUCCUCCAACCACCAGGUGGGCACUAUGGUCCUGAGGUAUUCUGGCUGAUCCAACAGUGUCUCUGGGGACUAGUGUGGCCAGCAACCUUUCCCUGACAGUUUUGUCUAUGAGAAUAACUCCGGUGAUCGCCUUCUUAGGUGGUCGGGGUACUUGUGAAAAGUACCUAGUGAACUGCGGUCAACUAAAGAGGGCAUGGAAGAAGCAGAGAAGGAGAAAGAACAGGGAGUGUGUGCUGGCUGGUUUUUAUGUCAGCUUGACACAACUCUAGUCUUUGGAGAGGAGGAAGCCUCAAUUGAGAAAAUGCCUCCAUAAGAUCUGACUGUAGGGCCUAUUUAAAAUGAGUGAUCAGUGGGGGAGUGCCCAGCCCACUGUGGGUGGUCCCAUCCCUGGGCUGGUGGGUGCUGUAA